CGGUACGUGCUGGCAUUGUUGGUUUCUCCCUUCUGACGAACCAUGAUGUCAUUUAUUUGGUGUUGUGGGGAAUCAGGACUGUUACUUUGAAAAAAUUAGAGUGUUUAAAGCAGGCUCACGCUUGAAUACAUUAGCAUGGAAUAAUGAAAUAGGACGUUUGAUUCUAUUUUGUUGGUUUCUAGGAUCGACGUAAUGAUUAAUAGGGAUAGUUGGGGGCAUUAGUAUUCAAUUGUCAGAGGUGAAAUUCUUGGAUUUAUUGAAGACUAACUACUGCGAAAGCAUUUGCCAAGGAUGUUUUCAUUAAUCAAGAACGAAAGUUAGGGGAUCGAAGACGACCAGAUACCGUCGUAGUCUUAACCAUAACCUAUGCCGACUAGGGAUCGGAUGAUGUUAAUUUUUUAAUGACUCAUUCGGCGCCUUACG
This 423-nucleotide ribosomal RNA is filed under the name uncultured Glomeromycotina. Its description in RNAcentral is "SSU rRNA". It matches the Rfam family "Eukaryotic small subunit ribosomal RNA", at positions 671 to 1092 of the family's 1831-position model. The record is from RNAcentral. Lineage: Eukaryota; Fungi; Glomeromycota.